GAGACACCCUUCUGGGGCAAGACUUGCUUCAGUGGGGCUUUGGUGCUCACUGAGUCUGCCCCCUGAGUUUUUCCCU
Myotis davidii is the source of this 76-nucleotide non-coding RNA. The record is from Rfam. Lineage: Eukaryota; Metazoa; Chordata; Mammalia; Chiroptera; Vespertilionidae.